This 866-nucleotide ribosomal RNA is filed under the name uncultured Methanosaeta sp. RNAcentral describes it as "bacterial SSU rRNA". It matches the Rfam family "Archaeal small subunit ribosomal RNA", at positions 1 to 873 of the family's 1478-position model. Lineage: Archaea; Methanobacteriati; Methanobacteriota; Methanomicrobia; Methanotrichales; Methanotrichaceae. The record is from RNAcentral.
UUCUGGUUGAUCCCGCCGGAGGUUACUGCUAUCGAGGUUCGACUAAGCCAUGCGAGUCGAAUGUAGCAAUACAUGGCGUACUGCUCAGUAACACGUGGAUAACCUACCCUUGAGACGGGGAUAAACCCGGGAAACUGGGUAUAAUACCCGAUAGAUCUCGACUGCUGGAAUGCAUCGAGCUCUAAAGCUCCGGCGCUCAAGGAUGGGUCUGCGGCCUAUCAGGUAGUAGUGGGUGUAGCGUACCUACUAGCCCACGACGGGUACGGGUUGUGAGAGCAAGAGCCCGGAGAUGGAUUCUGAGACACGAAUCCAGGCCUUACGGGGUGCAGCAGGCGCGAAAACUUUACAAUGCUGGAAACAGCGAUAAGGGGACCUCGAGUGCCAGGUUACAAAUCUGGCUGUCGUGAUGCCUAAAAAGCAUUGCAUUGCAAGGGCCGGGCAAGACCGGUGCCAGCCGCCGCGGUAACACCGGCGGCUCGAGUGGUAACCGUUAUUAUUGGGUCUAAAGGGUCUGUAGCCGGCCGGAUAAGUCUCUUGGGAAAUCUGGCAGCUUAACUGUCGGGCUUUCAGGAGAUACUGUCUGGCUCGAGGCCGGGAGAGGUGAGAGGUACUUCAGGGGUAGGGGUGAAAUCUUGUAAUCCUUGAAGGACCACCAGUGGCGAAGGCGUCUCACCAGAACGGACCUGACGGCAAGGGACGAAAGCUAGGGGCACGAACCGGAUUAGAUACCCGGGUAGUCCUAGCCGUAAACGAUACUCGCUAGGUGUCGGCCACGGUGCGACCGUUGUCGGUGCCGUAGGGAAGCCGUGAAGCGAGCCACCUGGGAAGUACGGCCGCAAGGCUGAAACUUAAAGGAAUUGGCGGGA